This 468-nucleotide ribosomal RNA is filed under the name uncultured bacterium. RNAcentral describes it as "partial 16S ribosomal RNA". It matches the Rfam family "Bacterial small subunit ribosomal RNA", at positions 28 to 507 of the family's 1533-position model. The record is from RNAcentral.
GACGAACGCUGGCGGCGUGCUUAACACAUGCAAGUCGAACGGUGAAGCUCCAGCUUGCUGGAGUGGAUCAGUGGCGAACGGGUGAGUAACACGUGAGCAACCUGCCCCCGACUCUGGAAUAAGCGCUGGAAACGGCGUCUAAUACUGGAUACGAGAAGGGUCCGCAUGGGCACUUUCUGGAAAGUUUUUCGGUUGGGGAUGGGCUCGCGGCCUAUCAGCUUGUUGGUGAGGUAAUGGCUCACCAAGGCGACGACGGGUAGCCGGCCUGAGAGGGCGACCGGCCACACUGGGACUGAGACACGGCCCAGACUCCUACGGGAGGCAGCAGUGGGGAAUAUUGCACAAUGGGCGAAAGCCUGAUGCAGCGACGCCGCGUGAGGGAUGACGGCCUUCGGGUUGUAAACCUCUUUCAGCAGGGAAGAAGCGAAAGUGACGGUACCUGCAGAAGAAGCACCGGCUAACUACGUG